GGGGUUGUGGCUCAGUGGUACAGUGUUUGCCUAGCAUGCAUAAGGCACUGGGUUCGAUCCUCAGCAUCACAU
This 72-nucleotide transfer RNA is filed under the name Ictidomys tridecemlineatus (thirteen-lined ground squirrel). RNAcentral's name for it is "Spermophilus tridecemlineatus (thirteen-lined ground squirrel) tRNA". It matches the Rfam family "tRNA". Rfam says of the family: Transfer RNA (tRNA) molecules are approximately 80 nucleotides in length. Their secondary structure includes four short double-helical elements and three loops (D, anti-codon, and T loops). Further hydrogen bonds mediate the characteristic L-shaped molecular structure. tRNAs have two regions of fundamental functional importance: the anti-codon, which is responsible for specific mRNA codon recognition, and the 3' end, to which the tRNAs corresponding amino acid is attached (by aminoacyl-tRNA synthetases). tRNAs cope with the degeneracy of the genetic code in two manners: having more than one tRNA (with a specific anti-codon) for a particular amino acid; and 'wobble' base-pairing, i.e. permitting non-standard base-pairing at the 3rd anti-codon position. Lineage: Eukaryota; Metazoa; Chordata; Mammalia; Rodentia; Sciuridae. The record is from Rfam by way of RNAcentral.